CAUAAUAGAAAUUGAUUUCGAACUGAUGAAUUCUAUCUACCUAUUUUCUAUAAAUGGUUAUUUAUUUUAUUAUCUGAUUUAAUCUAGUUGGAGUGUUCAUUUCUUACUAGGCUAUCUAGCUUAUUUUUCUAUACAUUACUAUUUUUAUAGAUCUUUAGAACUAAGUUGAUACAGGAAUAUGUACAGGAGAGUGAUUAGAAGCAGACUUCAAUACUUUUAUUUCAGAUUAGAAACUUUAUUAAAUUUAGUAUA
RNAcentral lists this long non-coding RNA (252 nucleotides) under Elaeis guineensis (African oil palm). RNAcentral's name for it is "long non-coding RNA (EGUI_LNC033574)". The record is from RNAcentral. Lineage: Eukaryota; Viridiplantae; Streptophyta; Magnoliopsida; Arecales; Arecaceae.